GAACCAAAAAGUCUCCCUUUCAUGUUGAAAUAUGUGUACACUGCAGACUGCAAGCGUGCUCUCUCUCUCUCUCUCUCUCUCUCUCUCUCUCUCUUUCUCUCUGAAAACCCACUAACAGCAUUACUUCACUUUAAUACACUGCUAGUCUCUCCCUCUCUCUCUCUUUAGGGUUUAAUGCCAAUGGCUUCGUUGCUUUCGUGCUGGGGUCACUUCUUCGGAGAUGUGUUUCUCUCAGGAGGUCCUCACAAGACGGCGAUAUUACCAAGAACCAGUCCGAGGGCAUCUCCCAGGUUUCGGAUCAGAAAUGUCGAAUGCAAACCUUUCUCCUGAGGUAUCUUCGGUAUCGAUGGAUUGAUAUGGGGGUUGGGGGGUAGGGAAUGAAGCCAUUGGUCCGUGUUUGUAGGGUAGAUGUAUAAAAUUUCGAUGUCUAUCUUCUCAUCUCUGUGGAAAUUAUUUGGAUCACCGACCGCUAAUCCUUUCUUAAUCUUAUUCAGAUACUUUUUCUGUUA
Long non-coding RNA from Tarenaya hassleriana, 509 nucleotides. RefSeq lists it as uncharacterized. The record is from RefSeq and is a predicted model, not a curated record. The transcript is spliced from 2 exons. Lineage: Eukaryota; Viridiplantae; Streptophyta; Magnoliopsida; Brassicales; Cleomaceae.